GGAGGAAUACCCAAGUCCGGCUGAAGGGAUCGGUCUUGAAAACCGACAGGCGGUCUUGAAAACCGACAGGAGCUUAACGGCUCGCGGGGGUUCGAAUCCCUCUUCCUCCG
Molecule: transfer RNA, 110 nt
Filed under: Staphylococcus epidermidis
Lineage: Bacteria; Bacillati; Bacillota; Bacilli; Caryophanales; Staphylococcaceae
Description: tRNA-OTHER
Rfam family: tRNA
About the family: Transfer RNA (tRNA) molecules are approximately 80 nucleotides in length. Their secondary structure includes four short double-helical elements and three loops (D, anti-codon, and T loops).
Source: RNAcentral